RNAcentral lists this ribosomal RNA (500 nucleotides) under uncultured bacterium. RNAcentral describes it as "partial 16S ribosomal RNA". It matches the Rfam family "Bacterial small subunit ribosomal RNA", at positions 30 to 523 of the family's 1533-position model. The record is from RNAcentral.
AUUGAACGCUGGCGGCAUGCCUUACACAUGCAAGUCGAACGGCAGCACGGGAGCAAUCCUGGUGGCGAGUGGCGAACGGGUGAGUAAAGUAUCGGAACGUGCCCAGUCGUGGGGGAUAACGUAGCGAAAGUUACGCUAAUACCGCAUACGAUCUAUGGAUGAAAGCGGGGGAUCGCAAGACCUCGCGCGAUUGGAGCGGCCGAUAUCAGAUUAGGUAGUUGGUGGGGUAAAGGCGCACCAAGCCGACGAUCUGUAGCUGGUCUGAGAGGACGACCAGCCACACUGGGACUGAGACACGGCCCAGACUCCUACGGGAGGCAGCAGUGGGGAAUUUUGGACAAUGGGGGCAACCCUGAUCCAGCAAUGCCGCGUGCAGGAAGAAGGCCUUCGGGUUGUAAACUGCUUUUGUACGGAACGAAACGGUCUGGGUUAAUACCCUGGGCUAAUGACGGUACCGUAAGAAUAAGCACCGGCUAACUACGUGCCAGCCGCCGCCGUAA